This 15346-nucleotide long non-coding RNA is filed under the name Triticum aestivum (bread wheat). RNAcentral describes it as "long non-coding RNA (TAES_LNC026305)". The record is from RNAcentral. Lineage: Eukaryota; Viridiplantae; Streptophyta; Magnoliopsida; Poales; Poaceae.
UCUGUGUGACUAUACUAUGUUCAAAUUUUUAUUUUAACGAUAUGGUCAACAAGAAAACAGAUUCUUGGCCUUCCAGUUAGAGAUGUAUUUAGAAAACCAUGGUCUCAACUCUCAUCCCUCUGUAGAAGCGACUCCAGCAAUCUUAAUGUUGCCGCAUCCUGGCAGUUCUCAAGACAGAAGCACUUCCACUCCCAUGGUUGCCCAUGACCUGAAACAACAAACACAUUAGCACAUGCUGAUGGAACUCUGAAAAAUAUUAUUUUUAGAUAACAGGUGCUUGCUCGGCUUUAGCAAACUGAAUCCCUUAAAGCAUUUACAACACAAAGAGUAGUAAUGAAAGUAAAAUAGUUUGAUACAGACCCAAACUGGGCCAACAUCAAAGGAUCAAGGAUCCCCGACACGACACAGACAAGGAACUAACAGGACGACGAGACGCGAUCGGUAGGCACAUCACCCUCUGUGCUGGCCGCCGACCUCCCUAAGGGCCUUCGUAUGAUAUCAGAGUUUGUCGCACAGCAUCCCAAUGCUGGUUGCAGCGCGUCCCUUGCUCAGAGGCUUCCAUAGCUGUAAAAAGAUAGUCAUUUUGUAUAAGGCAUCAGCAGGGUGCUUAAUGAAAAUCCCCUCAAUAAUAGCUUUGUUUCUAACAUGGCAUAAGGCCCUUGACAAGGCCGCAAAGAUCAUCCAAGCCAAUUUAAGAGGCCGACCCAAAAGCCUUGUACUAAGGGUGUGAAAGGCCAGAAAAGAAGCGGGUGCCCAGCUGCACGAAGUAAAGUCAUGGACAGAAUCCCAACGAAAUUGCACCAUAACACAUUUGAAGAAAAUAUAAUCAACAUCUUCAACAGCCCACAUAGCGGACAUAGCCCGUCCCUUGGACCAUGCCGCCUCUGAACUUCAACUCCCACAAAUAUUCAAGAUGGCCAAUAAGAUGAUAUGGACGGUUCAGCCAUGACAAUAUUACAUAACCUUUUCAGGUAGAUUGUGUGUGUGGAUGAGAAGAGAUAUAAUGUGAUGAUCCAAAUUGUGAGAAAAAAAUCAUGCUGUAAAUUUACAAGCGUUGAGCACCUGGUUGCGAUGGAGCUCAAGUUCAGGAACCUAACAAAAUUUUGAACCCAAUAGUUUCAGUGAAUAUGCAUGGGCUAUUGUCGGUACUAUUGUUGUAUAAUAGGAAAUCUAGAGGUCUUAUGUGUAAAAGUGAAGCUCUGUAAAUAUCUGUACUGAGGAUGAAUGGAUGAGGUUGCCCCGACCAGAAAUUCCAGUGUCUUCCCCUUCUCUCACCUUCGACUCCUCUCUGAUUAGGUGUGUGUUCCAUAACAUGGUAUCAGAGAAGGGUGGCUUGGGGGCCUAAUUUGCGAUGGUGGAGAGCUGAAUCGGGGCUGGGUUGGUCGGAUGUGGUGGAGGAGUGUGACCAGCGGCAGUUGAGGCGCAAUGCUGGUCGGGCGCGCCGGACGUCAACAGGCAACGAGGUUCAGCCGCUGCGGUGACUCGAUUUGAGCAUUCCCUUCGUUGCUGGAGCUGAACAGGUCAAGCAUUUGGGUACUCAGUCUGAGGUGUGUGUGCUGGGUGUGGAGGAACUGAAGGUAUGGCAGGCAAUGAAAAUGCCCCAGCAGGAGUCACAGCGGGGGAGCUUGCUGCUGUUUUGCAGGCGAUGGAUGAGAAGUAUCGGGUGUUGUUUGAUGCAAUUAACAAGCAAGCAGGGAACUCAAGAUCAGAAGUGGAGAUAAAAGAAGAGGUGCAUCCUUUGCAAAUGCCCCAUGUAAAAUUAGAAGGGCCUGAGAUGUGAGUUGGCCAGAGCAUACAGAGACCAUUUUGGUCUCUAGGAAGCUUGAAGGUUAUAUUUUAGGCAUGGUGGAGAAGCCUGCAGAUGAGAGUUCCAAAGAAGGCCAGAAGUGGAAGGCGAUAAAUGCACUUGUGAGGGCCUGGUUAUUGAGCUCGGUAUCACCUCAGAUCGCUAAGCAAAUUGAAAGGAUUAAAGAAGCUUCUGAAAUCUGGAGAUUAUUGAAAGGGACAUUCUCAGGAGUAGGAAAUGAAAUGCUUGCUUGCAAGAUUCAGAAGGAGUUGCAGGACCUGAGUCAAGGCGAGAAGACAGUGGUUGACUAUGUUUCUGAGCUGAAACGACUUUGGAGCGAUUUGGAUUAUUAUGAUCCAAUUGAGAUGGAGUGUGGCAAGUGCAUUGAAAAAUACAAUAAAUGGACCGAGAGGAGGCGUGUUAGGGAUUUUCUAAAUGGACUUAAUUCUAAGUUUGAAAACAGAAGGGCUGCAUUGUAUGGUAGUGGGAAACUACCUAACCUGGAGCAAGCAAUAUCUGCAAUUAUUAGUGAGGAAGCUCGGAUGAAGCUGGAGGCUACAUGAUCGUCUACACAAGGCGUCACACAGAGGCGCUCAGCCUUCCUUGCUACAGAAGGGGCAAAUUUUCAAAGAUCAGGAGCAAGUAUAUAUGAGAAGAAAUGUUUUGAAUGUGGCCAGCCAGGACACUUGCGAGUCUCUUGUCCUGAAUUAGUUGGAGCAGGUCAGGGUAGAGGACAAGAGUGGCGUGGCAGGGGUCAUGGACGUGUAUUUGAUGGACGUGGAGGUAAUCGGGGGCGUGGUGUGCGACCUACAGGCAGGGCAAAUAUCUCAUCAGUUAUUGAAGAAUCCCCACAAACUAUGAAAGUAGAGAUGUCGGUCGAUGACUGGGAGAGGUGGAGCAAAUUUAAGGGAAUGUGUUUGGAGGAUAAGGAAUCUAUCGAGGCUUCUACUGCAUCCACUUCUGCUGCAUCUGCCAACUUUGGUGGUAAAAAUUCUUGCACUAUGAAUUAUGAAGUUGCUUAUAUACCAUAGUUAAUUGACUCUGGGGCUUCUAGACAUAUGGCUAGUUCUUAUAGAAAUUUUAUUGACUAUGCUCCUGAUUUAAAAAGGCAAACUGUCAAAUUGGCUGAUGGCUCCUCUCAAACUAUUCUGGGGUCAGGAACAGUCAAGUGUGGAUCUAAUAUGCAUCUUUCAUCUGUUCUGCAUGUUCCCUCGUUCCCAAUUAAUCUGCUAUCCAUUAGUUGCAUUACAAACGAUCUUAAUUGUGUUGCUAUCUUCUUCCCAUCAUGGUGCUUAUUUCAGGAACUUGGGACUGGAAGAAGGCUUGGGACAGGGUAUUGGGGAUCGUAGCAGAAAUUUAAAAUUUUCUAUGCAUCACCAAGAUCUAUCUAUGGAGUAAUCUAGCAAUGAGGGGAAGGAGAGUGCAUCCACAUACCCUUGUAGAUUGCUAAGCGGAAGCGUUCAAGUGAACGGGGUUGAUGGAGUCGUACUCGUCGUGAUCCAAAUCACCGAUGAUCCUAGCGCCGAACGUACGGCACCUCCGCGUUCAACACACGUACGGAAUGGAGACGUCUCCCACGCCUUGAUCCAUUAAGGAGGAGGGAGAGGUUGAGGAAGAGAGUCCAACAGCAGCACGACAACGUGGUGGUGAUGGAGUGGCAGUUCUCCGGCAGGGCUUCGCCAAGCUCACGCGGAGGAGGAGAGGUAUUGGAGGGGAGGGGCUGCGCCAGGUUCAAGGGUGUGGCCGCCCUCCCACCCCUCCACUAUUUAUAGUUGGGGAGAGAGGGGGCCGGCCCCCCUAGAUCCCAUCUAAGGUUGGGGGCGGCGGCCAAGGGGGGGGGGAGGAGUGCCUCCCAAGUCAAGUGGAGGCCCUCCCCCUUAGGGUUUCCCCUCUCCCAUGCGCAUGUGCCUUGGGAGGGUUGGUGCCCUUGGCCCAUUAAGGUUAGGGCGCCCCCCUACAGCCCAUGCUGCUGUAUUGGACGUGGUGGAACAUUUUCCGGACCUACGGACCCCUCCGGAACCUUCCGGAAGCUUCCCGGUACAAUACCAGAAAAAACCGAACUUUUCCCGGAAUCCGAACAACAACUUUCCAUAUAUAAAUCUUUAACUCUGGACCAUUCCGGAACUCCUCGUGACGUCCGGGAUCUCAUCCGGGACUCCGAACAACAUUCGGUAAUCACAUACAAGUCUUCCUAACAACCCUAGCGUCAUCGAACCUUAAGUGUGUAGACCCUACGGGUUCGGGAACCAUGCAGACAUGACCGAGACAACUCUCCGGCCAACAACCAACAUCGGGAUCUGGAUACCCAUGUUGGCUCCCACAUGUUCCACGAUGAUCUCAUCGGAUGAACCACAAUGUCGAGGAUUCAAUCAAUCCCGUAUUCAAUUCCCUUUGUCCAUCGGUAUUGUACUUGCCCGAGAUUCGAUCGUCGGUAUCCCGAUACCUUGUUCAAUCUCGUUACCGGCAAGUCUCUUUACUCGUUCCGUAACACAUCAUCACGUGAUCAAGUCCUUGGUCACAUUGUGCACAUUAUGAUGAUGUCCUAUCGAGUGGGCCCAGAGAUACCUCUCCGUUACACGGAGUGACAAAUCCCAGUCUCGAUUCGUGCCAACCCAACAUACACUUUUGGAGAUACCUGUAAUGAACCUUUAUAGCCACCCAGUUACGUUGUGACAUUUGGUACACCCAAAGCACUCCUACGGUAUCCGGGAGUUGCACAAUCUCAUGGUCUAAGGAAAUGAUACUUGACAUUAGAAAAGCUUUAGCAAACGAACUACACGAUCUUUUGCUAGGCUUAGGAUUGGGUCUUGUCCAUCACAUCAUUCUCCUAAUGAUGUGAUCCCGUUAUCAACGACAUCCAAUGUCCAUGGUUAGGAAACCGUAACCAUCUAUUGAUCAACGAGCUAGUCAACUAGAGGCUUACUAGGGACAUGGUGUUGUCUAUGUAUCCACACAUGUAUCUGAGUUUCCUAUCAAUACAAUUCUAGCAUGGAUAAUAAAGGAUUAUCAUGAACAAGGAAAUAUAAUAAUAACCAAUUUAUUAUUGCCUCUAGGGCAUAUUUCCAACAGUCUCCCACUUGCACUAGAGUCAAUAAUCUAGUUCACAUCGCCAUGUGAUUAACACUCACAGGUCACAUCGCCAUGUGACCAACAUCCAAGAGUCUACUAGACUCAAUGAUCUAGUUCACAUCACUAUGUGAUAAACACUCAAAGAGUUCUGGAUUUGAUCAUGUUAUGCUUGUGAGAGAGGUUGUAGUCAACAGGUCUUGCCAUAUUCAGAUCCCUAUGUAUUUCGCAAAACUUUAUGUCAUAUCGUAGAUGCUACUACCACGUUCCACUUGGAGCUAUUCCAAAUUGUUGCUCCAUUAUACGUAUCCGGUAUCUCUACUCAGAGCUAUCCGGAUAGGUGUUAAGCUUGCAUCGACAUAACUCUUUACGUCGAACUCUUUAUCACCUCCAUAACCAAUAAACAUUUCCUUAUUCCUCUAAGGAUAAUUUUGACCGCUAUCUGGUGAUCCACUCCUAGAUCACCUUUGUACCCUCUUGCCAGACAUGUGGCAAGGCACACAUCUGGUGCGGUACUCAGCAUGGCAUACCGUAUAGAGCCUAUGACAAAAGUAUAGGGGGCGACCUUCGUCCUUCCUCUUUCUUCUGCCAUGGUCAAUCUUCGAGUCUUACUCAACUUCACACCUUUCAACUUAGGUAAGAACCCCUUCUUUGACUGAUCUAUUUUGAACUCCUUCAAAAACAUGUCAAGGUGUGCGUUCUUUGAAAGUAUCAUCAGGCGUCUUGAUCUAUCUCUAUAGAUCUUGAUGCCCAAUAUGUAAGCAGCUUUAUCCAGGUCUUCCUUUGAAAAACACUCUUCAAACAACCGUUUAUGCUUUCCAGAAAUUCUACAUUAUUUUGGAUCUACAAUAUGUCAUCCACAUAUACUUAUCAGAAAUGUUGUAGUGCUCCCACUCACUUUCUUGUAAAUACAAGUUUCUAGCAAACAUUGUAUAAACCUAAAAGCUUUGGUCACUCUAUCAAAGCAUGUAUUCUGACUCCGAGAUGCUUGCUCUAGUCCAUAGAAGGAUUGCUGGAGCUAGCAUACCUUUUAGCAUCCUUAGGAUCGACAAAACUUUGAUUGUAUCACAUACAACUCUUUCUUAUGAAAACUGGUAAGAAAACUUGUUUUUGACAUCCAUCUGUCAGAUUUCAUAAUCGAAAAAUGUAGCUAAUGCUAACAUGAUUCCGACGGACUUAAGCAUCGCUACGGGUGAGAAAUUCUCAUCGUAGUCAACUCCUUGAACUUGUGAAGAGAAUCUUUCCCACAAGUCGAGCUUCAUAGACGGUAACAUUACCGCCCAUGUCCGUCUUCUUCUUAAAGAUCCAUUUAUCUCAAUGGCUUGCCGAUCAACGGGCAAGUCCACCAAAGUCCAUACUUUGUUCUGAUACAUGGAUUCUAUCUCGGAUUUCAUGGCUUCUAACCAUUUGUCAGAAUACGGGCCCACCAUCGCUUCUCCAUAGCUCGUAGGUUCAUUGUUGUCUAACAACAUGAUAUCUAAGACAGGAUCACCGCACCACUCAGGAGUAGCACAUAUCCUUGUCGACCUACGAGGUUCUAUAGCAACUUGAUCCGAAGCUUCAUGAUCACUAUCAUUAACUUCCUAUUCAACAGAUGUAGGCGCCACAGAAAACAUCUUUAUGUGUUGCAUCACUUUCUGGUUGAAAUUAAAGGUUCAACAACCUCAUCAAGUUCUAUCUUCCUCCCACUCAAUUCUUUCGAGAGAAACUCCUUCUCGAGAAAGGACCCGUUCUUAGCAACAAACAAUUUGCCCUCGGAUCUGAGAUAGAAGGUAUACCCAAUUGUCACCUUUGGGUAUCCUAUGAAGAUGUGUUUGUCCGCUUUGGGUUCGAGCUUCUCCAGCUGAAGCCUUAAGCAUCGCAGCCCCAAACAUUAAGAAACGACAACUUUGGUUUCUUGCCAAACCAAUGUUCAUACGGCGUCGUCUCAACAGACUUAUAUGGUGUCCUAUCUAAAGUGAAUGCAGCUGUCUCUAAUGCAUAUCCUCAAAAUGAAACGGUAGAACGGUAAGAGACAUCAUAGAUCGCACCAUAUCUCAUAGGGUUCGAUUACGACGUCCGGACACACCAUUACCCUGUGGUGUUCCAGGUGGCUUCAACUGUGAAACAAUUCCACAAUGUCUUAAGUGUUUGCCAAACUCAUAACUCAGAAAUUCUCAUUGAUCAGAUCGUAGGAAUUUGAUCUUCUUGUUAUGAUGAUUCUUAACUUCACUAUGAAAUCGCUUGAACUUUUCAAACGUUUCAGACUUGUGCUCCAUUAAGUAAAUAUACCUAUAUCUACUCAAAUCGUCAGUGAAGAUGAGAAAAUAGCGAUAUCCAUUGCACGCUUCAAUUCUCAUUGGAUCGCACACAUCAACAUGUAUGAUUUCCAACAAGUCACUUGCCCGUUUCAUUGUACCUGAAAACGGGGUCUUAGUCAUCCUGCCCAUGAGGCAUGGCUCGCAUGUGUCAAGCGAUUCAAAAUCAAGUGACUCCAAACAUCCAUCAAUAUGGAGUUUCUUCAUGCAUCUUACGCCAAUAUGACCUAAGCGGCAGUGCCACAAGAAAGUGGUACUAUCAUUAUUAACUCUACAUCUUUUGGCAUGAACAUGUGUAUUACUACGACCGAGAUUCACUGAACCAUUCACAUAGGGUGCAUGACCAUGGAAGGUAUUAUUCAUGUAAACAGAAUAACCAUUGUUCUCUAACUUAAAUGAAUAACCGUAUUGCAAUGAACAUGAUCUAAUCAUAUUCAUGCUCAACGUAGACACCUGAUAACAUUUAUCUAGGUUCAAUACUAAUCCCGAAGGCAGAUGGAGCGUGCGAUGAUCUCAUCAACUUUGGAAACACUUCCAACACACAUCGUCACCUCGCCCUUAGCCAGUCUCCGUUUAGUCCGUAGCUUUUGCUUCAAGUCACCAAUAAUAGCAACUGAACCGGUAUCCAAUACCCAGGUGCUACCAGGAGUACUAGUGAGGUACACAUUAAUUACAUGUAUAUACUUUGAAGUUGCCAGCCUUCUUAUCUACCAUGCAUUUUGGGUAAUUCCGCUACCAGUGACCGUUCCCCUUACAAUAGAAGCACUUAGUCUCGGGUUUGGGUUCAACCUUGGGUUCCUUCACUGGAGCAGCAACUGGUUUGCCAUCCAUGAAGUUUCCCUUCUAGCCCUUGCCCUUCUUGAAACCAGUGGUCUUGUUAAACCAUCAACACUUGAUGCUCCUUCUUGAUUUCUACCUUUUGCGGUCUUAAGCACCGCGAACAGCUCCGGGAUCAACUCCAUCCCUUGCAUGUCAUAGUUCAUCACGAAGAUCUAGUAGCUUAGUGAUAGUGGCUAGAGAACUCUAUCAAUCACUAUCUUAUCUGGAAGUUUAACUCCCACUUGAUUUAAGUGAUUGUAGCACCCAGACAUUCUGAGCACAUGCUCACUAGCUGAGCUAUUCUCCUCCAUCUUGUUGGCAAAAGAACUUGUCAGAGGUAUCACACCUCUCAACACGGGCAUGAGCAUGAAAUCCCAAUUUCAGCUCUUGGAACAUCUCAUAUGUUCUAUGGCAUUCAAAACGUCAUUUGAAUCCCGAUUCUCAGCCGUAAAGUAUGGUGCACUAAACUAUCAAGUAGUCAUCAGGAUGUGUCUGUCAGGUGUUCACAACAUCCACAGACGACGUUGUAGGGGUUUGCACAUCGAGCGGUGCAUCAAAGACGUAAGCCUUCCGUGUAGCAGUGAGGACACUCCUCAGACUACGGACCUAGUACGCAUCAUUGCUUACAAUAUCUUUCAACUUAACCUUUCUCUAGGAACAUAUUGAAACAGGGAGCUACGACGUGAGCUAUUUAUCUACAACAUAUUUGCAAAGACAAUUUAGACUAUGUUCAUGAUAAUUGAGUUCAUCUAAUCAAAUUAUUUAAUGAACUCCCACUCAGAUAGACAUCCCUCUAGUCAUCUAAGUGAAACAUGAUCUGAAUCGACUAGGCCGUGUCCGAUCAUCACGUGAGACGGACUAGUCAUCAACGGUGAACAUCUCAUGUUGAUCGUAUCUUCUAUACGACUCAUGUUCGAACUUUCGGUCUUCCGUGUUCUGAGGCCAUGUCUGUACAUGCUAGGCUCGUCAAGUCAACCUAAGUGUUUCGCAUGUGUUCCGAGGCCAUGUUUGUACAUGCUAGGCUUGUCAACACCCGUUGUAUUCGAACGUUAGAAUCUAUCACACCCGAUCAUCACGUGGUGCUUCGAAAUAACGAACCUUCGCAACGGUGCACAGUUAGGGGGAACACUUUUCUUGAAAUUUUAGUGAGGGAUCAUCUUAUUUAAGCUACCGUCGUUCUAAGCAAAUAAGAUGUAAAACAUGAUAAACAUCACAUGCAAUCAAAUAGUGACAUGAUAUGGCCAAUAUCAUUUUGCUCCUUUUGAUCUCCAUCUUCGGGGCUCCAUGAUCAUCGUUGUCACCGGCAUGACACCAUGAUCUCCAUCAUCAUGCUCUCCAUCAUCGUGUCUUCUUGAAGUUGUCUCGUCAUCUAUUACUUCUACUACUAUGGCUAACACUUUAGCAAUAAAGUAAAGUAAUUACAUGACGUUUAUGUUGACACGCAUGUCAUAAAUAAAUUAAGACAACUCCUAUGGCUCCUGCCGGUUGUCAUACUCAUCGACAUGCAAGUCGUGAUUCCUAUUACAAGAACAUGAUCAAUCUCAUACAUCACAUAUAUCAUUCAUCACAUCCUUUUGGCCAUAUCACAUCACAAGGCAUAUGCUGCAAAAACAAGUUAGACGGAAUUGCAAGUUUUUACGUGGCUGCUAUAGGUUUCUAGCAAGAACGUUUCUUACCUACGCGAAAACCACAACGUGAUAUGCCAAUUUCUAUUUACCCUUCAUAAGGACCCUUUUCAUCAAAUUCGAUCCGACUAAAGUGGGAGAGACAGACACCCGCUAGCCACCUUAUGCAACUAGUGCAUGUCAGUCGGUGGAACCAGUCUCACGUAAGAGUACGUGUAAGGUCGGUCCGGGCCGCUUCAUCCCACAAUGCCGUCGAAUCAAGAUAAGACUACUAACGGCAAGUAAAUUGACAAAAUCGACGCCCACAACAACUUGUGUUCUACUCGUGCAUAGAAACUACACAUAGACCUAGCUCAUGAUGCCACUGUUGGGGAUCGUAGCAGAAAUUUAAAAUUUUCUACGCAUCACCAAGAUCUAUCUAUGGAGUAAUCUAGCAACGAGGGGAAGGAGAGUGCAUCUACAUACCCUUGUAGAUCGCUAAGCGGAAGCGUUCAAGUGAACGGGGUUGAUGGAGUCGUACUCGUCGUGAUCCAAAUCAUCGAUGAUCCUAGCACCGAACGGACGGCACCUCCGCGUUCAACACACGUACGGAACGGAGACAUCUCCCACACCUUGAUCCAGCAAGGAGGAGGGAGAGGUUGAGGAAGAGAGUCCAACAGCAGCACGACGGCGUGGUGGUGAUGGAGUGGCAGUUCUCCAGCAGGGCUUCGCCAAGCUCACGCGGAGGAGGAGAGGUAUUGGAGGGGAGGGGCUGCGCCAGGUUCAAGGGUGUGGCCGCCCUCCCACCCCUCCACUAUUUAUAGUUGGGGAGAGAGGGGGCCGGCCCCCCUAGAUCCCAUCUAGGGUUGGGGGCGGCGGCCAAGGGGGGGGAGGAGUGCCUCCCAAGUCAAGUGGAGGCCCUCCCCCUUAGGGUUUCCCCUCUCCCAUGCGCAUGGGCCUUGGGGGGGCUGGUGCCCUUGGCCCAUUAAGGUUAGGGCGCCCCCCUAUAGCCCAUGCUGCUGUAUUGGACGUGGUGGAGCAUUUUCCGGACCUCCGGACCCCUCCGGAAUCCUCCGGAACCUUCCGGAAGCUUCCCGAUACAAUACCGAAAAAACCGAACUUUUCCCGGAACCCGAACAACAACUUUCCAUAUAUAAAUCUUUACCUCCGGACCAUUCCGGAACUCCUCGUGACGUCCGGGAUCUCAUCCGGGACUCCGAACAACAUUCGGUAAUCACAUACAAGUCUUCCUAACAACCCUAGCGUCAUCGAACCUUAAGUGUGUAGACCCUACGGGUUCAGGAACCAUGCAGACAUGACCGAGACAACUCUCGGCCAAUAACCAACAGCGGGAUCUGGAUACCCAUGUUGGCUCCCACAUGUUCCACAAUGAUCUCAUCGGAUGAACCAUGAUGUCGAGGAUUCAAUCAAUCCCGUAUUCAAUUCCCUUUGUCCAGCGGUAUUGUACUAGCCCGAGAUUCGAUCGUCGGUAUCCCGAUACCUUGUUCAAUCUCGUUACCGGCAAGUCUCUUUACUCGUUCCGUAACACAUCAUCCCGUGAUCAACUCCUUGGUCACAUUGUGCACAUUAUGAUGAUGUCCUACCGAGUGGGCCCAGAGAUACCUCUCCGUUACACGGAGUGACAAAUCCUAGUCUCGAUUCGUGCCAACCCAACAGACACUUUCGGAGAUACCUGUAGUGAACCUUUAUAGCCACCCAGUUACGUUGUGACGUUUGGUACACCCAAAGCACUCCCACGGUAUCCGGGAGUUGCACAAUCUCAUGGUCUAAGGAAAUGAUACUUGACAUUAGAAAAGCUUUAGCAAACGAACUACACGAUCUUGUGCUAGGCUUAGGAUUGGGUCUUGUCCAUCACAUCAUUCUUCUAAUGAUGUGAUCCCGUUAUCAACGACAUCCAAUGUCCAUGGUCAGGAAACCGUAACCAUCUAUUGAUCAACGAGCUAGUCAACUAGAGGCUUACUAGGGACAUGGUGUUGUCUAUGUAUCCACACAUGUAUCUGAGUUUCCUAUCAAUACAAUUCUAGCAUGGAUAAUAAACGAUUAUCAUGAACAAGGAAAUAUAAUAAUAACCAAUUUAUUAUUGCCUCUAGGGCAUAUUUCCAACACAGGGAGCAUGCGUGAUGGCAUGUACUACUUAGAUGAUAACAUGUCACCUACUGUUGCUGAUGUGUUGUCUCACUCUCCACUGGAGGAAUUUCUUCUUCAUCAUCGCAGGCUAGGACAUAUGUCUUUUGUCAUUUUGGGUCAGCUUUAUCCAAACCUGUAUAAUAAAAUUAGCAAAGAGAAUCUAGUAUGUGAUGCGUGCCACUAUGGGAAACAGACUAGGAGUACUUAUGUAUCUUCUGAUAAUAGACCGCUUCAGACCAUCCACUCGGAUGUAUGGGGUCCUAGCGGAGUAUUAUCUCUUAACGGAUAUCGCUCUUUUGUCACAUUCAUUGACUGCUGCACUAGGACUACUUGGGUCUAUGUGUUGAAAAACAAGAGUGAUGUAUUUGAAUGUUUUAGGGAUUUUCAUAAUUUAAUCAUGACCCAAUAUAAUGCAUGCGUGAAAGUACUCCGUACUGAUAAUGGCAUGGAAUAUGUGAAUAAGGAGUUUGAUGAAUAUUUAUCAAGCUUUGGAAUUAUUCAUCAAACUACUUGUCCUGGUACCUCUGAACAGAAUGGCUUGGCUGAGAGAAAAAAUAGGCAUCUCUUAGAGAUUACACGGUGUAUCAUGAUGGCCAUGAAUGUUUCAAAAUUUCUGUGGAGUGAGGCAGUAAUGACUGCUGCAUACUUGAUGAACAGAAUGCCAUCUAGAGUUCUUGGUUACAAAACUCCAAUAGAGUGUCUGACAGGUAGGACUACAUAUGUGCUUCCACCAAAGGUGUUCGGGUGUGUGUGUUUUGUGAAAGAUUACAGGCCAUCUAUUGGAAAGUUAGAUCCAAGGGCUGUGAAGUGUGUGUUUGUGGGGUAUUCUGGGAAGCAGAAAGGCUAUAAGUGUUGGUGUCCAUCAGAAAAACGAAUGUUUGUGAGCAUGGAUGUAAUCUUCAAGGAACAAGUACCAUUUUAUGGGGAACCUGAUGAUUUAACCGAUGUCUUUCCUGAUCUGUUUUCUAGUGAUGUUUCAGAUCUGGACAACGGGACAGGGGGAGAAAAAGAAGGAGAAGAGAACAAUUCUACACCAUCAAGAGAAAUGGUGGUUGGAGUAAUACCAUUGGAAGACAGAAAUGAUAAUAUAGAUGUGGAUCUUAUAGAAGGAGAACCAGGGCGAACUAUGCAAGGGGAGAGACAAAAUACAUCAACUGAAGUUAUGCGGUGGGCAAGACCGAAUGAAGAACAAAAUCUGUGGGUGUAUACGCGGAGACAUCAAACUGAGGAAGAACAUGUGCAGGGGGAGGAAAUUAGUCCAGCGAAGGAUGAUUCGAAAGCUCAAGUUCAAUCCGACGGGCAUGAUUCCAGUUCACAACCAUCAGCUUCAUCUCAUACUCCACUACUGGUCUCCACAAGCGAUGGUAUACCUCCUCUUGCUUAUGAUGACUUAAAUGUUCCCAUUGCCCUUAGAAAGCAGCCUCGCACUAUUGCUGGAAAAUUGCCCUCUAAAUUAGCCCCAUAUGAUGUCUCUAAUUAUGUUACAUACAAUUCUAUUGGGCCUUUGUAUAAGUCAUUUAUAGCUUCCUUGCAUUCAACUUUACCUAUACCACGUGACUGCAGGAAGCGAAGCAAUACCCAGAAUGGAGGGCGGCAAUGUUAGAGGAAAUGGCAACACUUGAUAAGAACCAAACAUGGGUACUUACUUCUCUCCCUGUAGAUAAGAAAGUUGUGGGUUGUAAAUGGGUAUUUACAGUUAAACAAACUCCAGAUGGUAAGGUAGAAAGAUAUAAGGCUAGGCUAGUUGCAAAAGGGUAUAGUCAAACUUACGGAGUGGAUUAUGAUGAAACAUUUCUUCCAGUGGCGAAAUUGAGUACUGUCAGGACUUUAAUCUCGAUAGCUGCAAAUCAGAAGUGGAAAUUGUUCCAGGUGGAUGUUAAAAAUGCUUUUCUCCAUGGAGAUCUGCAAGAGGAGGUUUAUAUGGAAAUUCCUCCUGGGUUUAGAAGCCGGGAAACAGAGGGUAAAGUGUGUCGGUUAACAAAGUCUCUGUAUGGACUAAAACAGUCUCCUAGGGCAUGGUUUGGAAGGUUUCGAAAGGAAAUCUGUUCCAUGGGUUAUCGGCAAAGCAAUGCAGAUCAUACCCUAUUCUUUAAAUGCCAGUGCGAUUACAUUACUAUACUUCUUGUUUAUGUAGAUGACAUUGUGAUUACAGGUAACAAUGAGGUAGAGAUAUCUCAGUUGAAGAAGAUGUUAGCAAAGUCGUUUGAAGUCAAGGAUAUGGGAUAUCUCCACUACUUCUUGGGAAUCUAAGUUGCAUAUAGCCCAAAAGGUAUUUAUCUCUCACAAAGAAAAUAUGUGCUUGAUUUACUUGAGGAGACAGGGAUGUUAGGAUGCAAACCUGCAGUCACACCAAUAGAACAGAAUCAUCGGAUCUCUGCAGAUGGUGGUGAUCCCGUUGAUAGGUACCAAUACCAAAGGCUAGUUGGGCGGUUAAUCUAUCUGUCACAUACGAGACCAGAUAUAGCAUAUGCUGUUAGUAUUGUAAGCAGAUACAUGCAUGACCCUAGAACUAGCCACUUAGAUGCUGCGAAUAGAAUUCUAAGAUACUUAAAGAGUUGUCCUGGGAAGGGAAUCCUGUUCACUAAUCAUGGACAUCUGAGAAUCGAGGGGUACACAGAUGCGGACUGGGCUGGAUGCUUAGAUGAUAGGCGUUCAACUUCAGGCUAUUGCAUGUUUGUCGGAGGAAAUUUGGUUAGUUGGAGAAGUAAGAAGCAGAGUGUGGUAGCUCGCUUGACAGCGGAAGCGGAGUUUAGGUCAAUGGCUUCAGGGUUGUGUGAACUGAUGUGGCUAAAAACAUUGCUAACGGAGUUGCAGUUGUGCAGUGGUGCACCCUAUUCAGGUAUAUUGUGAUAAUCAGGCCACAAUUAACAUAGUGAACAACCCUGUUUAUCAUGAUAGAACUAAACAUAUUGAGAUAGAUAGGCACUUUAUCCGGGAGAAAUUAGAUGAAAGGUUAUUCCAAAUUAGUUAUGUUAGGUCAGUAGAUCAGCUUGCAGAUGUAUUAACAAAAGGGAUAGGUGUUGUAUCAUUUACGAGGAUUUGUAACAAGAUGGGGCUUAUUGACAUCUUCGCCCCAUCUUGAGGGGGAGUGUCAGUACUCUUGUUGUAUAAUAGGAAAGCUAGAGGUCUUAUGUGUAAAAGUGAAGCUCUGUAAAUAUCUGUACUGAGGAUGAAUGGAUGAGGUUGCCCCGACCAGAAAUUCCAGUGUCUUCCCCUUCUCUCACCUUCGACUCCUCUCUGAUUAGGUGUGUGUUCCACAACAGCUAUAUAGAACUGGAAAAAGAUGAGUGGGCAUAAUGGCAACAAGAAAAAUGAACAAAUAGAAGUACGUAAUGAGCUGAAUUUGUCACAUGGCAUGGAACGUAGCUAGCUGAUAUUGAUCUUCAAAACGAUACAUAUAGAAGUAUGUAAUAAUCAAGCUCCAUAGAAAGCAAGCUGCAUCAGUGGCUACUGUGUGAAGCAUUGCUCUACAAGAAUUUGAAGAGGCAAGAACGGUUGCCAGAGUUCAGGGUGUUGCCAGCUUCAGUGAACUUCUUCAGAGCAGAAACAUCAAAGUCCUGCAGAAUGUAGCAUCAAAGUAAGCUGAAUGCAGAUAAAUGAGAUUGGCUUUCAAAUUAGAGUGGAAC